UACGGAGGAUCCGAGCGUUAUCCGGAUUUAUUGGGUUUAAAGGGUGCGUAGGCUGUUUGGUAAGUUAGAGGUGAAAUCUCGACGCUCAACGUCGAAACUGCCUCUGAUACUGCCAGGCUAGAGUACAGUUGCUGUGGGCGGAAUGAGUAGUGUAGCGGUGAAAUGCUUAGAUAUUACUCGGAACACCGAUUGCGAAGGCAGCUCGCAAAGCUGUUACUGACGCUGAUGCACGAAAGCGUGGGGAGCAAACAGGAUUAGAUACCCUGGUAGUCCACGCCGUAAACGAUGAUAACUCGUUGCCGGCGAUAUAUUGUCGGUGACUUAGCGAAAGCGUUAAGUUAUCCACCUGGGGAGUACGUUCGCAAGAAUGAA
This 372-nucleotide ribosomal RNA is filed under the name uncultured bacterium. RNAcentral describes it as "bacterial SSU rRNA". It matches the Rfam family "Bacterial small subunit ribosomal RNA", at positions 524 to 898 of the family's 1533-position model. The record is from RNAcentral.